GCCCGCCGACUCCCCUCUGGACCCCGCCCUCCCCUUGGACGGCGGCUUCACCUCCACCUCCUCCUUCACUCAGCAGGACGUCAACGAUGGUGGUGUGUGGUACCGGCACCAUGGGACGGACAGCUCCCAGGACUCUUUCCAGUUCAAGGUUUCUUCAGAAGCGACUCCUCAGUUUCAGAGCGACCCGCAGACCUUCACCAUCGGCGUCCUGCCCCAGCUGCCUGGCUUCCCUCAGCUCUCCCCGGACUGCGAUCUGCAGAUCACGGCUCUGGAGGACCGAGUCACCGAGAUCCCUGCGUCAGCGCUGUCUUUUGUCGACUCGGAAACUCCCAGUGACAAACUCAUCUACAACGUCACCAAACCUCUGCCUCCGGGACACGGAGUCUUGGAGCACCGCGACAGACCGUACUCCCCCGUGGCCCAGUUCUCUCAGGCCGAUGUCGACAACAGAAAGAUCAUCUACAGACCUCCACCUGCCCCGACGCACCUGCAGGAGCUGUACACCUACUCCUUCACUGGUGAGACGCAGUGUUUAGG
This 537-nucleotide long non-coding RNA is filed under the name Neogobius melanostomus (round goby). RNAcentral's name for it is "lncRNA (ENSNMLG00000018027.1)". Lineage: Eukaryota; Metazoa; Chordata; Actinopteri; Gobiiformes; Gobiidae. The record is from RNAcentral.